CCUACGGGAGGCAGCAGUGGGGGAUAUUGCACAAUGGGGGAAACCCUGAUGCAGCGACGCCGCGUGGGUGAAGAAGCGCCUCGGCGCGUAAAGCCCUGUCAGCAGGGAAGAAAAUGACGGUACCUGAAGAAGAAGCCCCGGCUAACUACGUGCCAGCAGCCGCGGUAAUACGCAGGGGGCAAGCGUUAUCCGGAUUUACUGGGCGUAAAGGGGGCGCAGACGGCGAUGCAAGCCAGGAGUGAAAGCCCGGGGCCCAACCCCGGGACUGCCCUUGGAACUGCGUGGCUAGAGUGCAGGAGGGGCAGGCGGAAUUCGUGGUGUAGCGGUGAAAUGCGUAGAUAUCAGGAAGAACACCGGUGGCGAAGGCAGCCUGCUGGACUGCAACUGACGUUGAGGCCCGAAAGCGUGGGGAGCAAACAGGAUUAGAUACCCCAGUAGUC
This 440-nucleotide ribosomal RNA is filed under the name uncultured bacterium. Its description in RNAcentral is "partial 16S ribosomal RNA". It matches the Rfam family "Bacterial small subunit ribosomal RNA", at positions 338 to 795 of the family's 1533-position model. The record is from RNAcentral.